This 253-nucleotide ribosomal RNA is filed under the name uncultured bacterium. Its description in RNAcentral is "partial 16S ribosomal RNA". It matches the Rfam family "Bacterial small subunit ribosomal RNA", at positions 524 to 776 of the family's 1533-position model. The record is from RNAcentral.
UACGAAGGGGGCUAGCGUUACUCGGAUUGACUGGGCGUAAAGGGCGCGUAGGCGGCUUGUACAGUCAGGCGUGAAAUUCCUGGGCUCAACCUGGGGGCUGCGUUUGAUACGUAUGGGCUUGAGUUCGGAAGAGGGUCGUGGAAUUCCCAGUGUAGAGGUGAAAUUCGUAGAUAUUGGGAAGAACACCGGUGGCGAAGGCGGCGACCUGGUCCGAUACUGACGCUGAGGCGCGAAAGCGUGGGGAGCAAACAGG